This is a non-coding RNA of Biomphalaria pfeifferi, 541 nucleotides long. The record is from the annotation of a GenBank genome assembly. Lineage: Eukaryota; Metazoa; Mollusca; Gastropoda; Planorbidae.
UGUAUGUGUCAAUAAACAUCUGUAGGCCUAUGUGUCAAUAAAAAUCCGUAUCAAUAAACAUCUGUAUGUGCCAAUAAACAUAUGUGUGUGUUAAUAAACAUCUGUAUGGGUUAUUAACAAUGCCGAACUAUUUUAAUAUGUACAUAUUGAUAAACUAAACAAGCAAAAUAUUUAUUUAAAAUAAGAACCUUUUUAUAAAAACAAAGCUUAUACAACAGAAAAAAAAUAUUGUCAUAUAUCUCAAUACUGCAAGAUUAUUUUUUUUUCUAUUUAAAACUAGAUUGAUUACUAACACUAAUUAAUUGUUUUAAUUGAUUCAUGCGUUGUCAUCGAUUAUAAUAAUUGUGCUAAGUUUUAACAUGAUCCGAGAUUGGGAAAUGGGAGAAAUAUCGUGUAAAAGACUCCUCCAAGACCUACAGACGGAGUGAGUUCAUAGAAAGUUUGUAAAUAAAAGUCACUUUGUUCAAAAGAAAAUUAAAGGCGAAUUAAUAAAAAAAAAAUACUUAGUACAGUAAAAUUGAAAAAAAAAAUCGAAACAUCA